Molecule: ribosomal RNA, 1303 nt
Filed under: Candida dubliniensis
Lineage: Eukaryota; Fungi; Ascomycota; Pichiomycetes; Serinales; Debaryomycetaceae
Description: partial large subunit ribosomal RNA
Rfam family: Eukaryotic large subunit ribosomal RNA
Source: RNAcentral
GGGAUGCCUUAGUAACGGCGAGUGAGCGGCUAAGCUCUAUUUGAAAUCUGGCUCUUUCACAGUCCGAGUUGUAAUUUGAAGAAGGUAUCUUUGGGUCUGGCUCUUGUCUAUGUUUCUUGGAACACAACGUCACAGAGGGUGAUAAUCCCGUGCGAUGAGAUGAUCCAGGCCUAUGUAAAGUUCCUUCGAAGAGUCGAGUUGUUUGGGAAUGCAUCUCUAAGUGGGUGGUAAAUUCCAUCUAAAGCUAAAUAUUGGCGAGAGACCGAUAGCGAACAAGUACAGUGAUGGAAAGAUGAAAAGAACUUUGAAAAGAGAGUGAAAAAGUACGUGAAAUUGUUGAAAGGGAAGGGCUUGAGAUCAGACUUGGUAUUUUUGUAUGUUACUUUUGGGGGGUGGCCUUACAGUUUACCGGGCCAGCAUCAUUUGGGCGGUAGAGAAUUGCGAUGGAUGUGGCACGACUCGGUUGUGUGUUAUAGCCUUCGUAAUACUGCCAGCCUAACUGAGACUGCGGUUUUAUACCUAGAUGUUGGCAUAAUGAUCUUAAUCCCCGUCUUGAACACGGACCAAGGAUCUAACGUCUAUGCGAGUGUUUGGGUGUUAAACCCGUACGCGUAAUGAAAGUGAACGUAGUGGGGGCCGUAUGGGUGCACCAUCGACCGAUCCUGAUGUCUUCAUGGAUUUGAGUAAGAGCAUACUGUUGACCCGAAAAUGGUGAACUAUGCCUGAAUAGGGUGAAGCCAGAGAACUCUGGUGAGGCUCGUAGCGUCGACGUGCAAAUCGUCUCGAAUUUGGGUAUAGGGGCGAAAGACUAAUCGAACCAUCUAGUAGCUGGUUCCUGCCGAAGUUUCCCUCAGGAUAGCAGAAGCUCGUAUCAGUUUUAUGAGGUAAAGCGAAUGAUUAGAAGUCUUGGGGUUGAAAUGACCUUAACUUAUUCUCAAACUUUAAAUAUGUAAGAAGUCCUUGUUGCUUAAUUGAACGUGGACAAUUGAAUGAAGAGCUUUUAGUGGGCCAUUUUUGGUAAGCAGAACUGGCGAUGCGGGAUGAACCGAACGUGAAGUUAAAGUGCCGGAAUGCACGCUCAUCAGACACCACAAAAGGUGUUAGUUCAUCUAGACAGCCGGACGGUGGCCAUGGAAGUCGGAAUCCGCUAAGGAGUGUGUAACAACUCACCGGCCGAAUGAACUAGCCCUGAAAAUGGAUGGCGCUCAAGCGUGCUACUUAUACUUCACCGUGAUUGCUAAUUUAUGAUGCUUUCACGAGUAGGCAGGCGUGGAGGUCAGUGAAGAAGCCUUGCUUAAAGCUG